UUAAGUUAUUAAGGGCGCACGGUGGAUGCCUUGGCACUAGAAGCCGAUGAAGGACGUUACUAACGACGAUAUGCUUUGGGGAGCUGUAAGUAAGCUUUGAUCCAGAGAUUUCCGAAUGGGGAAACCCAGCAUGAGUUAUGUCAUGUUAUCGAUAUGUGAAUACAUAGCAUAUCAGAAGGCACACCCGGAGAACUGAAACAUCUUAGUACCCGGAGGAAGAGAAAGAAAAUUCGAUUCCCUUAGUAGCGGCGAGCGAAACGGGAAGAGCCCAAACCAACAAGCUUGCUUGUUGGGGUUGUAGGACACUCUAUACGGAGUUACAAAGGACGACAUUAGACGAAUCAUCUGGAAAGAUGAAUCAAAGAAGGUAAUAAUCCUGUAGUCGAAAAUGUUGUCUCUCUUGAGUGGAUCCUGAGUACGACGGAGCACGUGAAAUUCCGUCGGAAUCUGGGAGGACCAUCUCCUAAGGCUAAAUACUCUCUAGUGACCGAUAGUGAACCAGUACCGUGAGGGAAAGGUGAAAAGCACCCCGGAAGGGGAGUGAAAUAGAACCUGAAACCGUGUGCUUACAAGUAGUCAGAGCCCGUUAAUGGGUGAUGGCGUGCCUUUUGUAGAAUGAACCGGCGAGUUACGAUUUGAUGCAAGGUUAAGCAGUAAAUGUGGAGCCGUAGCGAAAGCGAGUCUGAAUAGGGCGUUUAGUAUUUGGUCGUAGACCCGAAACCAGGUGAUCUACCCUUGGUCAGGUUGAAGUUCAGGUAACACUGAAUGGAGGACCGAACCGACUUACGUUGAAAAGUGAGCGGAUGAACUGAGGGUAGCGGAGAAAUUCCAAUCGAACCUGGAGAUAGCUGGUUCUCUCCGAAAUAGCUUUAGGGCUAGCCUCAAGUGAUGAUUAUUGGAGGUAGAGCACUGUUUGGACGAGGGGCCCCUCUCGGGUUACCGAAUUCAGACAAACUCCGAAUGCCAAUUAAUUUAACUUGGGAGUCAGAACAUGGGUGAUAAGGUCCGUGUUCGAAAGGGAAACAGCCCAGACCACCAGCUAAGGUCCCAAAAUAUAUGUUAAGUGGAAAAGGAUGUGGCGUUGCCCAGACAACUAGGAUGUUGGCUUAGAAGCAGCCAUCAUUUAAAGAGUGCGUAAUAGCUCACUAGUCGAGUGACACUGCGCCGAAAAUGUACCGGGGCUAAACAUAUUACCGAAGCUGUGGAUUGUCCUUUGGACAAUGGUAGGAGAGCGUUCUAAGGGCGUUGAAGCAUGAUCGUAAGGACAUGUGGAGCGCUUAGAAGUGAGAAUGCCGGUGUGAGUAGCGAAAGACGGGUGAGAAUCCCGUCCACCGAUUGACUAAGGUUUCCAGAGGAAGGCUCGUCCGCUCUGGGUUAGUCGGGUCCUAAGCUGAGGCCGACAGGCGUAGGCGAUGGAUAACAGGUUGAUAUUCCUGUACCACCUAUAAUCGUUUUAAUCGAUGGGGGGGACGCAGUAGGAUAGGCGAAGCGUGCGAUUGGAUUGCACGUCUAAGCAAUAAGGCUGAGUAUUAGGCAAAUCCGGUACUCGUUAAGGCUGAGCUGUGAUGGGGAGAAGACAUUGUGUCUUCGAGUCGUUGAUUUCACACUGCCGAGAAAAGCCUCUAGAUAGAAAAUAGGUGCCCGUACCGCAAACCGACACAGGUAGUCAAGAUGAGAAUUCUAAGGUGAGCGAGCGAACUCUCGUUAAGGAACUCGGCAAAAUGACCCCGUAACUUCGGGAGAAGGGGUGCUCUUUAGGGUUAACGCCCAGAAGAGCCGCAGUGAAUAGGCCCAAGCGACUGUUUAUCAAAAACACAGGUCUCUGCUAAACCGUAAGGUGAUGUAUAGGGGCUGACGCCUGCCCGGUGCUGGAAGGUUAAGAGGAGUGGUUAGCUUCUGCGAAGCUACGAAUCGAAGCCCCAGUAAACGGCGGCCGUAACUAUAACGGUCCUAAGGUAGCGAAAUUCCUUGUCGGGUAAGUUCCGACCCGCACGAAAGGCGUAACGAUUUGGGCACUGUCUCAACGAGAGACUCGGUGAAAUCAUAGUACCUGUGAAGAUGCAGGUUACCCGCGACAGGACGGAAAGACCCCGUGGAGCUUUACUGUAGCCUGAUAUUGAAAUUCGGCACAGCUUGUACAGGAUAGGUAGGAGCCUUUGAAACGUGAGCGCUAGCUUACGUGGAGGCGCUGGUGGGAUACUACCCUAGCUGUGUUGGCUUUCUAACCCGCACCACUUAUCGUGGUGGGAGACAGUGUCAGGCGGGCAGUUUGACUGGGGCGGUCGCCUCCUAAAAGGUAACGGAGGCGCUCAAAGGUUCCCUCAGAAUGGUUGGAAAUCAUUCAUAGAGUGUAAAGGCAUAAGGGAGCUUGACUGCGAGACCUACAAGUCGAGCAGGGUCGAAAGACGGACUUAGUGAUCCGGUGGUUCCGCAUGGAAGGGCCAUCGCUCAACGGAUAAAAGCUACCCCGGGGAUAACAGGCUUAUCUCCCCCAAGAGUUCACAUCGACGGGGAGGUUUGGCACCUCGAUGUCGGCUCAUCGCAUCCUGGGGCUGUAGUCGGUCCCAAGGGUUGGGCUGUUCGCCCAUUAAAGCGGUACGCGAGCUGGGUUCAGAACGUCGUGAGACAGUUCGGUCCCUAUCCGUCGUGGGCGUAGGAAAUUUGAGAGGAGCUGUCCUUAGUACGAGAGGACCGGGAUGGACAUACCUCUGGUGUACCAGUUGUCGUGCCAACGGCAUAGCUGGGUAGCUAUGUGUGGACGGGAUAAGUGCUGAAAGCAUCUAAGCAUGAAGCCCCCCUCAAGAUGAGAUUUCCCAACUUCGGUUAUAAGAUCCCUCAAAGAUGAUGAGGUUAAUAGGUUCGAGGUGGAAGCAUGGUGACAUGUGGAGCUGACGAAUACUAAUCGAUCGAAGACUUAAUCAA
RNAcentral lists this ribosomal RNA (2922 nucleotides) under Staphylococcus aureus. Its description in RNAcentral is "bacterial LSU rRNA". It matches the Rfam family "Bacterial large subunit ribosomal RNA". The record is from RNAcentral. Lineage: Bacteria; Bacillati; Bacillota; Bacilli; Caryophanales; Staphylococcaceae.